Molecule: ribosomal RNA, 389 nt
Filed under: uncultured bacterium
Lineage: Bacteria
Description: bacterial SSU rRNA
Rfam family: Bacterial small subunit ribosomal RNA
Source: RNAcentral
AUUGAACGCUGGCGGCAUGCCCUACACAUGCAAGUCGAACGGUAGAGUAGCAAUACUUGAGAGUGGCGAACGGGUGAGUAAUAUAUCGGAACGUGCCCAGUCGUGGGGGAUAACGUAGAGAAAUUUACGCUAAUACCGCAUACGAUCUAAGGAUGAAAGCGGGGGAUUCGCAAGAACCUCGCGCGAUUGGAGCGGCUGAUAUCAGAUUAGGUUGUUGGUGAGGUAAAAGCUCACCAAGCCGACGAUCUGUAGCUGGUUUGAGAGAACGACCAGCCACACUGGGACUGAGACACGGCCCAGACUCCUACGGGAGGCAGCAGUGGGGGAAUUUUUGGGACAAUGGGCGAAAGCCUGAUCCAGCAAUGCCGCGUGCAGGAAGAAGGCCUCGG